CCUACGGGCGGCAGCAGUGAGGAAUAUUGGUCAAUGGACGAGAGUCUGAACCAGCCAAGUAGCGUGAAGGAUGACUGCCCUAUGGGUUGUAAACUUCUUUUAUAAAGGAAUAAAACGAGGCACGUGUGCCUUUUUGCAUGUACUUUAUGAAUAAGGAUCGGCUAACUCCGUGCCAGCAGCCGUGGUAAUACGGAGGAUCCGAGCGUUAUCCGGAUUUAUUGGGUUUAAAGGGAGCGUAGAUGGGUUGUUAAGUCAGUUGUGAAAGUUUGCGGCUCAACCGUAAAAUUGCAAUUGAUACUGGCAGUCGUGAGUACAGUUGAGGUAGGCGGAAUUCGUGGUGUAGCGGUGAAAUGCUUAGAUAUCACGAAGAACCCCGAUUGCGAAGGCAGCUUACUAAACUGUGACUGACAUUGAUGCUCGAAAGUGUGGGUAUCAAACAGGAUUAGAUACCCGUGUAGUC
RNAcentral lists this ribosomal RNA (460 nucleotides) under uncultured bacterium. RNAcentral describes it as "partial 16S ribosomal RNA". It matches the Rfam family "Bacterial small subunit ribosomal RNA", at positions 338 to 795 of the family's 1533-position model. The record is from RNAcentral.